UACGUAGGGAGCGAGCGUUGUCCGGAUUUACUGGGUGUAAAGGGUGCGUAGGCGGGUCUGUAAGUCAGACGUGAAAUACCGAGGCUCAACCUCGGGGCUGCGUUUGAAACUGCGGAUCUUGAGUGAAGUAGAGGUAAGCGGAAUUCCUAGUGUAGCGGUGAAAUGCGUAGAUAUUAGGAGGAACACCAGUGGCGAAGGCGGCUUACUGGGCUUUAACUGACGCUGAGGCACGAAAGCGUGGGGAGCAAACAGG
This 253-nucleotide ribosomal RNA is filed under the name uncultured bacterium. RNAcentral's name for it is "partial 16S ribosomal RNA". It matches the Rfam family "Bacterial small subunit ribosomal RNA", at positions 524 to 776 of the family's 1533-position model. The record is from RNAcentral.